GACGAACGCUGGCGGCGUGCUUAACACAUGCAAGUCGAACGGUGAAGCGCCUUCCUUUUUGGUGGGUGUGGAUGAGUGGCGAACGGGUGAGUAACACGUGAGUAACCUGCCCCCUUCUUCUGGAUAACCGCAUGAAAGUGUGGCUAAUACGGGAUAUUCUGGGUCUGUCGCAUGAUGGGUCUGGGAAAGAUAUUGUUUCGGUGGGGGAUGGGCUCGCGGCCUAUCAGCUUGUUGGUGGGGUGAUGGCCUACCAAGGCGGUGACGGGUAGCCGGCCUGAGAGGGUGGACGGUCACACUGGGACUGAGACACGGCCCAGACUCCUACGGGAGGCAGCAGGGGGGAAUAGUGCACAAUGGGCGCAAGCCUGAUGCAGCGACGCCGCGUGAGGGAUGGAGGCCUUCGGGUUGUGAACCUCUUUCGCCAGUGAAGCAUGCCUGCCUCGUUUGUGGGUGGGUUGACGGUAGCUGGAUAAGAAGCGCCGGCUAACUACGUG
Molecule: ribosomal RNA, 494 nt
Filed under: uncultured bacterium
Lineage: Bacteria
Description: partial 16S ribosomal RNA
Rfam family: Bacterial small subunit ribosomal RNA
Source: RNAcentral